AAAAAUUUAGUUAAUAAAUAACAUUAGUUUGUCAAACUAAAAUAACUUAAUUUUAAGUAAUUUUUA
This 66-nucleotide transfer RNA is filed under the name Eurysternus foedus. RNAcentral describes it as "tRNA-Asp". The record is from RNAcentral. Lineage: Eukaryota; Metazoa; Arthropoda; Insecta; Coleoptera; Scarabaeidae.